AAUAUUGGACAAUGGGGGCAACCCUGAUCUAGCCAUGCCGCGUGUGUGAAGAAGGUCUUCGGAUUGUAAAGCACUUUAAGUUGGGAGGAAGGGCUUUAGGUUAAUACCCUGAAGUUUUGACGUUACCAACAGAAUAAGCACCGGAUAAAUCUGUGCCAGCAGCCGCGGGAAUACAGAGGGUGCAAGCGUUAAUCGGAAUUACUGGGCGUAAAGCGAGCGUAGGUGGUUCAGUAAGAUUGGUGUGAAAUCCCCGGGCUUAACCUGGGAACUGCUUUCAUAACUGCUGAGCUAGAGUACGAUAGAGGGUAGUGGAAUUUCCUGUGUAGCGGUGAAAUGCGUAGAUACAGGAAGGAACACCAGUGGCGAAGGCGACUACCUGGACUGAUACUGACACUGAGGUGCGAAAGCGUGGGGAGCAAACA
This 422-nucleotide ribosomal RNA is filed under the name uncultured bacterium. RNAcentral describes it as "partial 16S ribosomal RNA". It matches the Rfam family "Bacterial small subunit ribosomal RNA", at positions 360 to 774 of the family's 1533-position model. The record is from RNAcentral.